Molecule: ribosomal RNA, 385 nt
Filed under: uncultured eukaryote
Lineage: Eukaryota
Description: SSU rRNA
Rfam family: Eukaryotic small subunit ribosomal RNA
Source: RNAcentral
AGCUCUAAUAGCGUAUAUUAAAGUUGUUGUGGUUAAAAAGCUCGUAGUUGGAUUUCGGCGGGUACGGGUCAGUUCGCACUGAAGCGACACUGGUUCCCAGCACCCGUGUGUUUGGCCGGAGCCUGGGAGGUGCUCUUCACCGAGUGUCUGUCGGGGCCGGCAGGUUUACUUUGAAAAAAUUAGAGUGCUCAAAGCAAGCGUCUCGCUUGAAUAUUCGUGCAUGGAAUAAUGGAAUAGGAAGUCGUAUCUAUUUUGUUGGUUUUCUGAUAUCGACUUAAUGAUUAAUAGGGAUAGUCGGGGGCAUUUGUAUUCAAACGACAGAGGUGAAAUUCUUGGACCGUUUGAAGACAAACUACUGCGAAAGCAUUUGCCAAGAAUGUUUUCA